Molecule: ribosomal RNA, 376 nt
Filed under: uncultured bacterium
Lineage: Bacteria
Description: bacterial SSU rRNA
Rfam family: Bacterial small subunit ribosomal RNA
Source: RNAcentral
UACGAACCGUACGAACGUUAUUCGGAAUCACUGGGCUUAAAGCGUGCGUAGGCGGCUUGGAAAGUUGGGUGUGAAAUCCCUCGGCUCAACCGAGGAGUUGCGCCCAAAACUACUAGGCUUGAGGGAGGUAGAGGUAAGCGGAACUAAUGGUGGAGCGGUGAAAUGCGUUGAUAUCAUUAGGAACACCUGUGGCGAAAGCAGCUUACUGGGCCUCUUCUGACGCUGAGGCACGAAAGCUAGGGGAGCGAACGGGAUUAGAUACCCCGGUAGUCCUAGCUGUAAACGAUGAGCACUGGAUUGAGGAGACUUCCACAUCUUCUCGGUCGUAGCGAAAGUGUUAAGUGCUCCGCCUGGGGAGUAUGGUCGCAAGGCUGAA